AGUACAAAUGCCUGUGCGUUGCACCGGGCGAAAAAUGAAAUAUAACCUACUCCUGUGCCAUUAUGCAAUAAUUUUUUAAUUCAAUUUUACGGGGACAUUAUCUUCUAGUGCUUUGACACAAAUCACCCUUCUACUUCUUCCUUUACCCACUGUCCCUGUGUCUCCAAUCAAAACACAUUAUCACAAUAUACCUGUAAAAAAGGACACUAUCACCAUCAACGAAACAGGUCAUUCAUAACCCUCCCACGUGCACACUUUGAAUUCCAAACACGUACCACGCCAUCAGCACUCAGCAUCAAAUUCUGACUACCAUCGCUGACAUGUAUGCACCAUACUCGGCACCCUUCCAAUCAGCUCACUCCAUUUUCCAUUCCCUCCUCUCUUUACUCUUCCUCAUC
RNAcentral lists this long non-coding RNA (398 nucleotides) under Triticum aestivum (bread wheat). RNAcentral describes it as "long non-coding RNA (TAES_LNC025134)". Lineage: Eukaryota; Viridiplantae; Streptophyta; Magnoliopsida; Poales; Poaceae. The record is from RNAcentral.